This 911-nucleotide non-coding RNA is filed under the name Pan troglodytes (chimpanzee). The record is from RNAcentral. Lineage: Eukaryota; Metazoa; Chordata; Mammalia; Primates; Hominidae.
GCUCUCCCAGAGGUCCAGGUCCGGGAGAUGACAGUGGCUCCCAGAAAGCCCAGGAUUCAAUCGCUGAGAGAGUGCUUCGGCCCGAAUGCCGGCCCGAAUCGUUCUACUCACCGUGUCGGAGGCCGAGGCCGAGGCCGAGAGCGAUGAGAGUGCAGGGAAGUGGGGAAGAGGGGGUGGCCGCCAGGCUCCUCCGCUUCCCUGGGUCCACCGCGGAUCCCUCCCGCUUGUCAGGAGGCGGCCAGCGGGGGCAGGAGACGAAGGGACGGGCCGAGCGGGUCGGGGCUUGCCAUUUGACUGGAAUUGCCAGAAUGGCGGACCGAGCCCCACGACAACCUACCUCCCUGGGCUCCUCGCCGCGGCGCUGCGGCUCGCCUCCCUCUGCUCCUCCUCCUCCGCCGGAUCGCGGCGAGCGGAUCGAGGACUGCCUAGCGCCCCUCUGCCCACCGGUGGUUGGAGGCCGCGGCGGCUGCGCGUUGAGUCGUUUCCUGCCGGUUGACCUGAGCCUACUUUGCAGUAGCAGGACCGCUGCUGUGGAGCUGGUCGCGGGUGGUGUGUGCCAGUCGCCUAGUCAGGAGGACUAGUCCUCGACUCACGGUGAGGGAAUGGACCGACACGGGUAUUGUACCGCUGAGGGAAAGGAGCGGGACUCCGGACCUCCAGGAGGUAGGGAGUGAGGCCAGUAGGUCCGGCGCGCCUCCGGGGGGAUUCCUCCCGGGCGUUGAGUUGCCAACCUGGGACCCGAGGAAGAUCGGCGUGGUGGUGUGCUUUUUGUUGUUGUUAACCCUCCUCGGAUUUCUCGAAUUUCACACCACUGUCCAUAUGCGAUGAUGUUUGUUUGCCCUUGACGCAGUUACUCAUGGAUGGUACUUCUUCAGCCUCGUUAGACAGCCUGGUGAUGGAGGAUGAAGAAA